Long non-coding RNA from Limulus polyphemus (Atlantic horseshoe crab), 523 nucleotides. RefSeq lists it as uncharacterized. The record is from RefSeq and is a predicted model, not a curated record. NCBI's taxonomy places the organism in Eukaryota, Metazoa, Arthropoda, Merostomata, Xiphosura, Limulidae. The transcript is spliced from 2 exons.
AAGAAAAACAUAACCUGACAGAUCUGGAACUUCGAGUCAAGACAAUGGCAGAGUCAAUGUCUGUAAUGUCAGAGAAAAACAUCGGUACCACAAUAUUCUCAUCUCGAGCUAUAACUGAUGAUAAUAAGGGCUUAAAUUACCCCCACUACGGUUCUCCGUGGGAGAGAGUUCACUCGCUAAGCGAACAGAUUUCUAUGCUUGAAGAACGGCUCGAGGACUGUACAUGUAACGAACAGCAACGAAGGUCGAAACGAAGACCAAGGUUAUAAGUUAUCCAGAAACAUAAACCAAGCCCACCGGAAGAAAUAAGAAGACUGAACGAAAAUGGACUAGUUGAUCGUAUUGAAUAUGUUCGUAUUUUUCUUCUCUGCAAUGAAAACCUUUUCAGAUGUUUUUACUUCCAGCCUGUAGCAGCCACAUUUCUAACGAUGUGUUAUUCGAUUUAACAUGAUUGGUUGGAGUUACUGGCACGCAUUUAGAAUAAAUUAUGAGGUUGAUCAUUGUCAAUCUUAUUUUUUAUGGU